AUCGAACGCUAGCGGGAUGCCUUACACAUGCAAGUCGAACGGAGUGGCGAACGGGUGAGUAAUGUAUCGGAACGUGCCCAGUAGCGGGGGAUAACUACGCGAAAGCGUAGCUAAUACCGCAUACUAUUGGAGCGGCCGAUAGCGGAGUAGCUUGUUGGUGGGGUAACGGCUCACCAAGGCGACGAUCCGUAGCUGGGUGGAGAGGACGACCAGCCAACCGGGGACUGAGACACGGCCCAGGCUCCUACGGGAGGCAGCAGUGGGGAAUUUUGGACAAUGGGGGAAAGCCUGAUCCAGCCAUGCCGCGUGUGCGAUGAAGGCCUUCGGGUUGUAAAGCACUUUUGGCAGGAAAGCGGUACCUGCAGAAUAAGCACCGGCUAACUACGUGCCAGCAGCCGCGGUAAUAC
RNAcentral lists this ribosomal RNA (407 nucleotides) under uncultured bacterium. Its description in RNAcentral is "partial 16S ribosomal RNA". It matches the Rfam family "Bacterial small subunit ribosomal RNA", at positions 29 to 526 of the family's 1533-position model. The record is from RNAcentral.